This 253-nucleotide ribosomal RNA is filed under the name uncultured bacterium. RNAcentral's name for it is "partial 16S ribosomal RNA". It matches the Rfam family "Bacterial small subunit ribosomal RNA", at positions 524 to 776 of the family's 1533-position model. The record is from RNAcentral.
UACGUAGGGUGCAAGCGUUGUCCGGAAUUAUUGGGCGUAAAGGGAUCGUAGGCGGUCCAUCGCGUCGGGAGUGAAAAGCUGGGGCUCAACCCCAGUCCUGCUUCCGAUACGGGUGGACUAGAGGUAUGCAGGGGAGAACGGAAUUCCUGGUGUAGCGGUGAAAUGCGCAGAUAUCAGGAGGAACACCGGUGGCGAAGGCGGUUCUCUGGGCAUUACCUGACGCUGAGGAGCGAAAGCGUGGGGAGCGAACAGG